GUUAUAUCAAGAGUGGUGGUAGAGAAUUGGCUCAAAGACCCCACAGCAACCCACAAAUGGGUGCUAAUUCCAACCUGUAUUAUUAAAUUAAUACUAGGAAAGAUAGGUU
This 109-nucleotide non-coding RNA is filed under the name Candidatus Parcubacteria bacterium. Its description in RNAcentral is "Parcubacteria Nomurabacteria SAM-I sequence". It matches the Rfam family "SAM riboswitch aptamer (S box leader)". From Rfam's summary of the family: The SAM riboswitch is found upstream of a number of genes which code for proteins involved in methionine or cysteine biosynthesis in Gram-positive bacteria. The SAM riboswitch acts at the level of transcription termination control. The record is from RNAcentral. Lineage: Bacteria; Candidatus Parcubacteria.